Long non-coding RNA from Zingiber officinale, 2409 nucleotides. RefSeq lists it as uncharacterized. The record is from RefSeq and is a predicted model, not a curated record. NCBI's taxonomy places the organism in Eukaryota, Viridiplantae, Streptophyta, Magnoliopsida, Zingiberales, Zingiberaceae. The transcript is spliced from 6 exons.
UCGACGCCCCUUCCUCUCCUGAUUAGGAUCAACAGACCACGACGCCUUUGCUUCUCUGUCCAACCACGUCGUAUCUCCUCCAACUCUUCCCUUUGGGUGAGAAGAGGAGCCCUUCAUUUUAUAGAAAUGCUCGCUGUUAAAAGGGCAAGUUGGCGACAGCAGCGGAGCAUCGGCGAAGGGUUCAUUUUCUCGCUCUUCGGGACACUCGUUGCUUUGUUGCGGUGCUCUCUAACACAUAUUUCUCGUUUCCUGAGGAGGAACAAUGGCUAGAAAGGGGCUUGAUCGUCUCGCAUUUGUUCUUCGUCAGCGAUCGCCCUCAAACUGAAGAGCAAAGAGCCACCACUUCACAACGACUGCUCACUUCCCCUUUCUUCCUCCUCCUCCGCUCCUGGAGGAGGAGGAGGAGGAGAUGGAGGAGGAGAUGAAGAGGAAGAGCUCCAGCAUGGGCAACCUGGUUUCGUGCACCGUCACUGCAUCGGCCGCCAAUCGUGUCCUCGUCGAUCAAGGGUACCACUCCGAUGGCAGCCUCCUCCUACCCCGAGCGGGUUGACGAAGAAAAGCCACGAGAGAAAGAGGGGUUCGUGGCAAUGAUCUCUCUUUCUUUUUCAAAAUAAUAAAAUAAAGCAUAAGCCCAGUAUUCUCGAUUUAUCGCCAUGUUUUAGUUUUUUUUUUUUUUGAAGUUGGGGCAAAUCCUUCAUAUAUUUGUUGUUCAAAAGUCACAUUUUGAUCUACUUUGCUGAUAUUAUAUUUUGUGGAUAUAUCUGAUGAAUCUCCUGAGCUUUGUGAUUCCUUGUUGAUUUGAUUAUAUUUUGUGGAGGUGAAUUAAAUUAGCUAAUUCGUUAUUCUUGUUCAUAUUCUAACGGGAAGAGAUUAGGCACAAUAAUCUCUUAGUUGUGCUCCCUGUUGAUUUUUUUUAUUUAUUUUUUUUAUUCUUUGUCAGUUGUCACAGGAUUGGGUUCGUAGAGUAUUAUCUGAAAUUGUUUAUCGCCUUCUCUGCACUGACCUUUGUGGGAACCUUUUCUUUUUCCAAUGCAAUAAUCACACUUUUUGAAACUUUAGAUACAUGCAAUAACCAGAAUAUUACGGACUGUUUAUUGCUAUUUUUUUUUCACCUGAAUCUGAACAAUCGACCAGAUGGUGAAGCGCUCUGAUUCCCAUUUCAAUGUCUCAUCUCAAACUAAUACUGAAACCAUGGACUUGGUAUUCCUUUUUACUUGUAUGUUUAAACUGUUAACCAACAGUUGAUCCUCUCAAUGGUUGGUACCUUCUUGGUUUAUAGUCUAAGACGAUGGUGGAUCCUCAUCAUAAACAUCAUCAAUCAAGCUAUGUUUUUCCCAAUUACUAGGGUGGAUCAGCACAAAUAAUAAAAAGCAUACCCUUGGUUGCUUUUCCUGAUUAAUUUUGUCUCUUGCGUGAAAGAUAACUUUUUUUAUGCAUAUUAUUCUUUUCUAAAUGUCCUUUCUAUCAAAAUAUUAAUGACUGAGACACUCUGGUAUAUCAGAUUUAAUCUCUUAAAUCUCUUCUCUUUGAUUGUGCCUUUGAUGUUGAAAUUCUUAUUUGCUCUUCAUCAUUGUUUCUUCUUGUGUGAAAAUUGAAACCGCACUUGUAUUUCUCUUUAGAAGAUACACUUGAAAUGCACUGUAUAUGGUCGAUUCUCAUAACUGAUUGUUUGCCAAGACUAUAGAAGAUGAAUGUAGACUCCAUUAAGUAUCCAGUUUAAAGCAAAGGAUCUCCAUGUGUGUGUAUUUUAAUUGCAUAAUUUUAGCCCUUCUAAUACCAUUUUGUCGCAAGUGUGGACACUGCAAGAAGCUUGCCCCUGAAUAUGAAAAGCUUGGAUCGAGCUUUAAAAAGGAUAAAUCUGUUUUGAUUGGGAAGGUUAGCAUCGUUCUAAAUUAGGCCAAGAAGCAUCAUCUCUUUUACUACAGAAGCACUUACUGAGUUUGUGAAUACUGAAGGGGGAACAAAUGUGAAACUAGCAACUAUCCCUUCUAAUGUAGUAGUAUUGACUCCAGAGAUUUGAUUAGAUUGUUCUUGAUGUAAAUAAAGAUGUUCUUGUUGAAUUCUAUGCACCAUGGUGUGGCCAUUGCAAGCAUCUUGCUCCUAUAUAUGAGAAGUUAGCCAAUGCAUACAAAUUGGAAGAUGAUGUUGUCAUUGCUAACUUGGAUGCUGAUAAAUACAAGGAUUUAGCAUAAAAGUAUGCAGUUAGUGGUUAUCAUACCUUGAAGUUUUUUCCCAAGGAAAACAAAGCUGGUGAAGAUUAUGAGGCUGAACGGGAGUUGGAUGAAUAUUUAUGGAUACUGUUGUAAGAAGAAUAUUUAUGUAAUUUGUGAAUAUUUGUGUAUUUUAUGGAUACUAUUGGAAGAAGAAUAUGUGUAAUUUAUGAAUAUUUGUGUAUUUUAUGGAUACUAU